CUUGGUCAUUUAGAGGAAGUAAAAGUCGUAACAAGGUUUCCGUAGGUGAACCUGCGGAAGGAUCAUUACCGAAUUGUCAACAUGAGUUGUUGCUGGCCCUCAAAUGGGGGCAUGUGCACGCUCUGUUUGCACAUCCACUCACACCUGUGCACCCUCUGUAGUUCUGUGGCCUGGGGGCUCUGCCCUUCUGCUGUGGUUCUAUGUCUUUACACAUACACUCUGUAAUGAAGUCUCAUGGAAUGUAUGCCGCGUUUAACGCAAUACAAUACAACUUUCAGCAACGGAUCUCUUGGCUCUCGCAUCGAUGAAGAACGCAGCGAAAUGCGAUAAGUAAUGUGAAUUGCAGAAUUCAGUGAAUCAUCGAAUCUUUGAACGCACCUUGCGCCCCUUGGCAUUCCGAGGGGCACACCCGUUUGAGUGUCGUGAAAUCAUCAAAACCCUUUUCUUUGAUCCCUAUUGUGGUCAGGAAAAGGAUUUUUGGACUUGGAGGUUUCAUGCUUGCUUUUGCUUUCAAAAGUGAGCUCCUCUCAAAUGAAUUAGUGGGGUCUGCUUUGCUGGUCCUUGACGUGAUAAGAUGUUUCAACGUUUUGGAUUUGGCACUGUCCCUUGGAUGCCUGCUUUUAACUGUCUCUCGAGACAAUGAUGGUGCUUCGGUCACCGGCCAAUCUACAUUGGCGGGGAGGCUGGACCCACAAAAAGAAAAGACCUUGACCUCAAAUCGGGUGAGACUACCCGCUGAACUUAAGCAUAUCAAUAAGCGGAGGA
Molecule: ribosomal RNA, 765 nt
Filed under: uncultured Russula
Lineage: Eukaryota; Fungi; Basidiomycota; Agaricomycetes; Russulales; Russulaceae
Description: eukaryotic LSU rRNA
Rfam family: 5.8S ribosomal RNA (bases 270-423)
Source: RNAcentral